This 769-nucleotide ribosomal RNA is filed under the name Bovicola bovis (cattle chewing louse). Its description in RNAcentral is "12S ribosomal RNA". Lineage: Eukaryota; Metazoa; Arthropoda; Insecta; Psocodea; Bovicoliidae. The record is from RNAcentral.
AUUGUAGAGGUUCUUCAAUAGGCCUACUAUAGGGCCUGAAAGUAAUAGGAAUUAUAUAGGUCAUAGAUACCAAGGUGCCAGCUCUAGCGGUCAUACCUUCUGACCAAGUCCUUCAGAAUUCAAAGAAUGGUGGGAAAUAAUCAAAAAUUAUUAGGAAAAUAGAGGUGAAAUCCCAAAAAUUCCUUACAAAUCUAAUAUCCAGAUCCCAUGCGUAAUCGGUAGGAAAAACGGGGAUUAGAUACCCCCUUAUUUCCGAAUAUAGACCAGGAGUAGGAGUAAUAUUCCCAAAAUAAAAUCUCAUGGCGGUAGGCCAACCAUUUAGAGACGUAUGCCCAGUAAAGGACGACCCACCGGAAUCUUUCUUCUCAGCUUAACCUCUAACACAGCCGUCUGAAGGGUGAAUUUCUAGAAUCAUUCCGACCACUAUAUAGCCUACAAGGCUGUUUCGGUAGUAAGUCAGGUAGACGUUAGGGAUAUGGGAAGUUUAGGUGUACGUCAAUUCUAGCAAAUUUUUAAGUAUGUUCUGGAAGGGUUGCUUUCGGAGCGAAUCUAAAAGUAAGGGCCCUUAACCAGGGGGGUAUGAAUUCAUAGGAUAUGGCCUAUGUUCAUAUCGCCCGUCAUUCAACCCGCAAGGGUUGGAAAGUCGUAACAAAGUUACCCUACCGGAAGGUGGGGUAGUUUUAAACAUAUAUAUAUAUAUAUAUAUGAAAGGAAAAUUAAUCCUAACUAUUUACCCAAUAGGGGCGGAGCCCCUAGGGGGGGCUCCGCU